Molecule: ribosomal RNA, 337 nt
Filed under: uncultured bacterium
Lineage: Bacteria
Description: bacterial SSU rRNA
Rfam family: Bacterial small subunit ribosomal RNA
Source: RNAcentral
GCGUGAGCAACCUACCUUAGUUACUGGGAUAGCCCGAGGAAACUCGGAUUAAUACCGGAUAUUCUUAUUUAAUCACAUGAUUUUUUAAGGAAAGGUCAGCCGAACUAAGAUGGGCUCGCGUUCUAUCAGCUAGUUGGUAGGGUAAUGGCCUACCAAGGCUACGACGGAUAGCUGGUCUGAGAGGACGAUCAGCCACACUGGGACUGAGACACGGCCCAGACUCCUACGGGAGGCUGCAGCAGGGAAUAUUGCGCAAUGAGCGAAAGCUUGACGCAGCGACACCGCGUGUGGGAUGACGGAUCUAGGUUUGUAAACCAUUUUCAGGAGGGAAGAAAAU